CAGCACCUCAAGUGGUCAGGAUGAUUAUUUGGCCUAAAGCGUCCGUAGCCGGCCGAGCAAGUCUUCCGUUAAAUCCAGCGUCUCAAGCGUUGGACUGCGGGAGAUACUACAUGGCUAGAGAGUGGGAGAGGUCAGCGGUAUUCUGGGGGUAGGGGCGAAAUCCUUUGAUCCCCGGAGGACCACCAGUGGCGAAGGCUGCUGACUAGAACACGUCUGACGGUCAGGGACGAAAGCUGGGGUAGCGAACCGGAUUAGAGACCCGAGUAGUCC
Molecule: ribosomal RNA, 270 nt
Filed under: uncultured archaeon
Lineage: Archaea
Description: partial 16S ribosomal RNA
Rfam family: Archaeal small subunit ribosomal RNA
Source: RNAcentral